Molecule: long non-coding RNA, 765 nt
Organism: Helianthus annuus (common sunflower)
Lineage: Eukaryota; Viridiplantae; Streptophyta; Magnoliopsida; Asterales; Asteraceae
Exons: 2
Source: RefSeq, a predicted model, not a curated record
CAUCUUAUGAGAGAGAAGGGUGGUUGUUGAACCUCUCAUUCAAAAUCAAACUGCAACUUCCUUUUAAGCUCUCGGUCAUCCCUGUAUAUCUCUCUCCGGCCUCCCUUCCUCUCCGCCGUCGCCGCCACCCCACAGCUACCCCUCCACCGACACAUCUGUCACAAAGAUCUGAAAUCCUUGUUCACCACUGGAAAUCCUUGUUCACCACCGGAAAUCUGGUGGUGGUGGUAGGCAGAGAUCGGCGAUGGUGGGGGUGUGGGGUAGAGGUAGGCGUCGGUGUUGGUGGUGGCGUUAGGGUUGGUGGCGGUGGGGGUUUUUUGGUGGUGUGUGGCAGAGGGGGGUGACCGGUGGUUUAUGUGGAGUCGGUAUCAAGAGACGGUGGUGGCGCAGGUGGUGUGUUCAGAAGCUGGUGGUGGGGCAAGUGGUUGAUGGGGAGACGGUGUCGGUGGUCAUCGGUUCAAGGGUGUUCAUUGUUCUGAGGUGCUUGAUGAUGAGUAAAGAAGUUUGGGAAUUGUGGGUUUGUUAUUAUGGUUUUUUUGGGUGUUGAAGAUGUGGUUUAGUGCUUGUUUAGUGCUUGUCUUUUUCUGGGUUUGAAUAUGGGUUUGAAUACUUGGGGUUUUGACUUUUCUUGAUGCUUGUUUAUUGCUUGUCCUUUCUGGGGUUUGAAGAUGGUGCUUUUUUGGUAGUUUUUCAAAGAGUGAACUAUGUGGGUUUUGAUCCGUUUGGAUUGGGGCGGUGAUGAUGCAAAAAAAAAAAAAAAAAAAA